Molecule: ribosomal RNA, 467 nt
Filed under: uncultured bacterium
Lineage: Bacteria
Description: bacterial SSU rRNA
Rfam family: Bacterial small subunit ribosomal RNA
Source: RNAcentral
GAUGAACGCUAGCGGCAGGCUUAAUACAUGCAAGUCAAGGGGUCAGCAAUGGCACCGGCGGACGGGUGAGUAACGCGUACACAACGUACCUUUAACUGGGGGAUAGCAUUUGGAAACGAGUGGUAAUACCGCAUGUGGUUGUAGGGAGGCAUCUUUUGCAACUAAAACUCAGGUGGUUAAAGAUCGGUGUGCGUCCGAUUAGCUAGUUGGUGAGGUAAUGGCUCACCAAGGCGACGAUCGGUAGGGGGCGUGAGAGCGUGAACCCCCACACGGGUACUGAGACACGGACCCGACUCCUACGGGAGGCAGCAGUAAGGAAUAUUGGUCAAUGGAGGCAACUCUGAACCAGCCAUGCCGCGUGAAGGAAGAAGGCGCUAUGCGUUGUAAACUUCUUUUGGGUGGGAAGAAAAUGGUCAAUUUAUUGACAACUGACGGUACCAUCAGAAUAAGCACCGGCUAACUCCGUG